Molecule: non-coding RNA, 1073 nt
Filed under: Pristidactylus scapulatus (Burmeister's anole)
Lineage: Eukaryota; Metazoa; Chordata; Lepidosauria; Squamata; Leiosauridae
Description: partial contains 12S small subunit ribosomal RNA, tRNA-Val, and 16S large subunit ribosomal RNA
Rfam family: Microsporidia small subunit ribosomal RNA (bases 5-940)
Source: RNAcentral
AACAUACAGUUUUGGUCCUAGACUUGUUGCUAUUUAUAAUCAAAAUUACACAUGCAAGUAUCCACGCCCCAGUGAGAAUGCCCUCUAUUAAGGAGCAGGUAUCAGGCACGACCCGUCAGCCCAAAACACCUUGCUAUGCCACACCCACAAGGGUAAUCAGCAGUGAUAGAUAUUAAGCAAUGAGCCCCCAACCAUUAAAGCUCGACUUAGUUAUGAUUAAAAGGGCCGGUAAACCUCGUGCCAGCCACCGCGGUUAUACAAGGGGCCCAAAAUAGACAAAUAACGGCGUAAAUAGUGGCUAGAAUAUGUAAACAACCAAAAUGAUAAAUCAUGUCCUAAUAGUAAAACAUGGGACAAAUGAACUCCUUAAUUUUGUUCAAUCAACAAUUUGACCCCACGAAAACUAAGAAACAAACUAGGAUUAGAUACCCUACUAUGCUUAGUUGUGAAUAAGACAUACAACCACGAAUAUGUCCGCCAGAAAAUUACAAGCGAAAAGCUUAAAACCCAAAGGACUUGGCGGUGCUCCACACCAACUUAGAGGAGCCUGUCCUAUAAUUGAUACUCCACAAUAAACCUCCCCCUCUAUUGCCCCCCACAGCCUAUAUACCGCCGUCGUAAAUCUACCCUAUGAAGGAUAAACAGUAGGUACAAUAGCUAACUAGCUAAAACGUCAGGUCAAGGUGUAGCUCAUAAGAGGGAAGAGAUGGGCUACAUUCUUUAAAAUAAAUCAAACGGCAAAGUACUAUGAAACUAGCACUAUAAGGUGGAUUUAACAGUAAGGUUAACAAGAAAACUAACCUUAAACCAGCCCUGGAGCGCGCACACACCGCCCGUCACCCUCCUCAACACUUUAACCACUAUUAAUAAUUAAUAUGCCCACAAAGAUGAGGUAAGUCGUAACAUGGUAAGCGCACCGGAAGGUGCGCUUGAUUCACCAAAAAGUAGCUUAAAAAAAGCCUUCAGCUUACAACUGAAACAUGUUAGAACCUUUUUGUACUAAAAACGUAGCCCACACCUUUACACAAAUAUAGCCAUAAAAAAACAAAACAUUUGACAUAACUAGUAGAGGU